AACGUACGCUGGCGGCACGCCUAACACAUGCAAGUCGAACGAAGUAGCAAUACUUAGUGGCAGACGGGUGAGUAACAUGUAGGUAUCUGCCCUUUGGCCUGGAAUAACACGAGGAAACUUGUGCUAAUACCGGAUAAGUCUUUACGGAGAAAGCUUUAUGCACCAUUGGAUGAGCCUGCACUUGAUUAGUUUGUUGGUGGGGUAAUGGCCUACCAAGACUGUGAUCAAUAGCUGAUUUGAGAGGAUGAUCAGCCACAUUGGGACUGAGACACGGCCCAAACUCCUACGGGAGGCAGCAGUGGGGAAUCUUGCACAAUGGAGGAAACUCUGAUGCAGCGAUGCCGCGUGAGUGAAGAAGGCCCUUGGGUUGUAAAGCUCUUUCGUCGGGGAAGAAAAUGACUGUACCCGAAUAAGAAGGUCCGGCUAACUUCGUGCCAGCAGCCGCGGUAAUACGAAGGGACCUAGCGUAGUUCGGAAUUACUGGGCUUAAAGAGUUCGUAGGUGGUUGAAAAAGUUAGUGGUGAAAUCCCAGAGCUUAACUCUGGAACUGCCAUUAAAACUUUUCAGCUAGAGUAUGAUAGAGGAAAGCAGAAUUUCUAGUGUAGAGGUGAAAUUCGUAGAUAUUAGAAAGAAUACCAAUUGCGAAGGCAGCUUUCUGGAUCAUUACUGACACUGAGGAACAAAAGCAUGGGUAGCGAAGAGGAUUAGAUACCCUCGUAGUCCAUGCCGUAAACGAUGUGUGUUAGACGUUGGAAAUUUAUUUUCAGUGUCGCAGGGAAACCGAUAAACACACCGCCUGGGGAGUACGACCGCAAGGUUAAAACUCAAAUGAAUUGACGGGGACCCGCACAAGUAGUGGAGCAUGUGGUUUAAUUCGAAGAUACGCGCAGAACCUUACCAACACUUGACAUGUUCGUCGCGACUCUAAGAGAUUAGAGUUUUCGGUUCGGCCGGACGAAACACAGGUGCUGCAUGGCUGUCGUCAGCUCGUGUCGUGAGAUGUUGGGUUAAGUCCCGCAACGAGCGCAACCCUCACUUUUAGUUGCCAUCAUUAAGUUGGGCACUCUGAAAGAACUGCCAGUGAUAAGCUGGAGGAAGGUGGGGAUGACGUCAAGUCCUCAUGGCCCUUACGUGUUGGGCUACACACGUGCUACAAUGGUAUCUACAACAGGAAGCAAGACUGCGAAGUUAAGCAAAUCCCUAAAAGAUACCUCAGUUCGGAUUGCACUCUGCAACUCGAGUGCAUGAAGCUGGAAUUACUAGUAAUCGUGGAUCAGCGUGCCACGGUGAAUGCGUUCCCGGGUCU
This 1306-nucleotide ribosomal RNA is filed under the name uncultured bacterium. Its description in RNAcentral is "bacterial SSU rRNA". It matches the Rfam family "Bacterial small subunit ribosomal RNA", at positions 28 to 1381 of the family's 1533-position model. The record is from RNAcentral.